RNAcentral lists this non-coding RNA (86 nucleotides) under Caldithrix sp. Its description in RNAcentral is "NiCo sequence". It matches the Rfam family "NiCo (Nickel/Cobalt) riboswitch aptamer". The record is from RNAcentral. Lineage: Bacteria; Pseudomonadati; Calditrichota; Calditrichia; Calditrichales; Calditrichaceae.
CUAAAAGGAAUAGAACAGUCGGUUCCCGAUUAGUGGAAUGCAGACGGGCCUUUGAAGGCAGCGGGUUUCGGCCCUGUGGGACUUAA